GUAGGCGGCUUUAUAAGUCAGGAGGUGAAAGCCCCGUGGAAAGCCAGGGAACUGCAUUUGAUACUGGAGAGCUUGAAUUUGGUUGAAGGAGCUGGAAUAUGCAGUGUAGCGGUGAAAUGCUUAGAUAUUACAUGGAACACCAAUGGCGAAGGCAAGUUCCUGACCUGACAUUGACGCUGAUGGGCGAAAGCGUGGGGAGCAAACAGGAUUAGAUACCCUGGUAGUCCACGCCGUAAACGAUGGAUACUAGCUGUUGGA
Molecule: ribosomal RNA, 258 nt
Filed under: Flavobacterium cucumis
Lineage: Bacteria; Pseudomonadati; Bacteroidota; Flavobacteriia; Flavobacteriales; Flavobacteriaceae
Description: partial 16S ribosomal RNA
Rfam family: Bacterial small subunit ribosomal RNA
Source: RNAcentral